Molecule: non-coding RNA, 73 nt
Organism: Stegodyphus mimosarum
Lineage: Eukaryota; Metazoa; Arthropoda; Arachnida; Araneae; Eresidae
Source: Rfam
GCAUUUGUGGUGUAGUGCUCAGCACGCUGGGCGCGUAUUCCAGAGGUCCGUGGUUCAAGUCCCGGCGAAGGCG